This 383-nucleotide unclassified non-coding RNA is filed under the name soil metagenome. Its description in RNAcentral is "partial contains 5.8S ribosomal RNA, internal transcribed spacer 2, and large subunit ribosomal RNA". The stretch from base 1 to 120 matches the Rfam family "5.8S ribosomal RNA", at positions 35 to 154 of the family's 154-position model. The record is from RNAcentral.
GAUGAAGAACGUAGCGAAAUGCGAUAAGUAAUGUGAAUUGCAGAAUUCAGUGAAUCAUCGAAUCUUUGAACGCACCUUGCGCUCCUUGGUAUUCCGAGGAGCAUGCCUGUUUGAGUGUCAUGAAAUUCUCAACCUUUCUGGCUUUUGCUAGUCAGGCUUGGAUUAUGGGAGCUGCUGGCUUUUGAAGUCGGCUCUUCUAAAAUGUAUUAGCAAGAUCAUUGCUGCUCAUCAUUGGUAUGAUAAUUAUCUAUAUCAUUGAGAGUCAGUUUCCUUUAUUGGAAGAUUCUGCUCCUAACGGUCUUUAGCAAGACAACAUUUGACGAUUUUGACCUCAAAUCAGGUAGGACUACCCGCUGAACUUAAGCAUAUCAAUAAGCGGAGGA